GCGGGGUGGGGCGAGGACGGACCCCGCCCGCCGCGCCGCCCAGACACGUGCUGCCUUUGUUCCCGCCGCGGCGCCGGCAGCUGCGGGCCUUGGGGACGCUCUCCGCCUCAUCUCCGCCCCGGCGACUCGGGGCCUGCCCUGGCCGAGGCUGCCACCCAAGCCGCACGAGAAGCCAUCCGCGGAGGCCGGGGCCCCGAGCUCCCUCCUUCCGUUUAACAUCCUCUUUCCCCGGAGAAGAAUGUGGGAGGAACGCGAAGCCUUGGCAGAGGCCAUCUGAGUGCCCCGCGCAUCCCCAGUGGACUGCCCCACUGCUUUGAUUUCCUUCCCCUUCGGGACCUCCGUUCAGCCAUCCCAGUAAAAACAGAAGCAGCUACUUCUCCAACCAGCCUCUGAUCAUAACCUGAAGAUUUGGUGCAGCCAGCCUUCCCCAGCACCUUCAAAAAGAGCCCUUGGCAGUAUGACCCCAGCCUCCUCACACUUGUCAAAGACAAGGUCAUAUUUGCAGCAGGCACAGCAUGAAUGGGGUAGUGUCGCCAGCCCACCUGCUGUUGUGACUGAGGAGAGAGGCUGCCCCGAACCCGUCGUCUAGCUCUGCCUCUCUCAAAGCACACCGCUCCUCUGCUCACUCAACCCACCACCACCACCAAGCUUCCAUCACCGCUCCAACCGCGAGGUAAGGAAGAAAGGGCAGUAAUCUGCCAGAAAUGGCAGAAUCAAGGACCCGGGAGGCAGACCCAGCUGAAUGAUGCGGAGCUGUUCUCUUCCAAAGAACUGCAGGGAAGAUCUCCAAAUCCCACCCCCAUCAAUCAGCCCAUUUAUCCUAUAGCCUAUCUCUAGCUGCCCUGCCGGCAGGGCCAGCCUGCUUGUCAUCUGCACCGCUGAGCUGGGCUGCCCGUGUAUCACAGGAGAGUCCCUGCCCUCUACAUACCCCUUUCUCCUAUCACCCCUAGGGAGGCCAAGGACCUAGCCCGCUGGCUUCCAGAAGAGGUUCCAAAUAAAGCCGGCUAACCCUGAGGAAGGCGGCUUUGUUCUUCCAGGGAUCUCAGAGCGGCCCCUAGUGGCC
Long non-coding RNA from Eptesicus fuscus (big brown bat), 1063 nucleotides. RefSeq lists it as uncharacterized. NCBI's taxonomy places the organism in Eukaryota, Metazoa, Chordata, Mammalia, Chiroptera, Vespertilionidae. The transcript has 3 exons. The record is from RefSeq and is a predicted model, not a curated record.